RNA transcript from Anopheles merus, 6534 nucleotides. It is a transcript of the gene named BUB3-interacting and GLEBS motif-containing protein ZNF207, with no coding region annotated. The transcript has 7 exons. NCBI's taxonomy places the organism in Eukaryota, Metazoa, Arthropoda, Insecta, Diptera, Culicidae. The record is from RefSeq and is a predicted model, not a curated record.
UGACCAUUUAAUGCUUGUCAGGUUUGUCACGUACACGCGUCAUGGUGUUAGUGAGGGCCAUCUUUCUGACAUCCACCUCGUCGUUCGUCGAAUUGCCGUGGAAAAAUUGCAAACGCCCUGUGAAAAGUUAAAAAUUGAAGGGCAUAAUCGACGAUAUCUCUGCUUAAUCUGUGAUAAAAACAUAGAUUUUCCGACAUUCGUAACAUAAACCGGUAGAUUGGUGCAAAGAUCGUACUCUUCAGGCUGAAAUCUUCGUUUUCGUGAGGCAUCUGAGAGCAAGCCCCGGACGGAAUUGAGCAACGUCAGGGGAAGUGAAGGGGAACGAUUAGAAGUUGAAAAUUUUACCUGUGUCAGCAGCAAUAGAACUCAGCUUUCCUGCGUAAAAAACCCUUUGCAGUAAACCAGAUUUAACGCAGCGAUGGGUCGCAAGAAGAAAAAGGCGUCAAAGCCGUGGUGCUGGUACUGCAACAGAGAAUUCGAUGACGAGAAGAUUUUGGUGCAACAUCAGAAGGCAAAGCAUUUCAAAUGCCACAUUUGUCAUAAGAAGCUGUAUACGGGUCCCGGACUAUCGAUACAUUGUAUGCAGGUGCACAAGGAAUCGAUUGACAAGGUUCCAAAUUCUCUUCCAAAUCGGUCCAAUAUUGUGAUCGAAAUUUACGGAAUGGAAGGCAUACCUCCGGAGGAUAUUCGUGAGCACGAGAAACAAAAGAAUGGAAAUCGAUCAGAAUCGGAAGAAGAGGAGCCGGCGCACAAGAAAAUGAAGCAAGCUGAGGCGUCCGUAUCGCAGGGAAUGAUGCAAAUGCAGAAUAUGAUGCCUCCGCAUUUACAGGCAGCGUACAGCAUAAACCCCAUGAUGAGCGCAAUGGGAGGAAUCAAUCCGUACAUGGUACCACCCGGAAUGCCGAUGAUGCCCGCGAUGAUGGCAGGGGCCCAGAGACCCCUUUUCCCAGCCGCCGCCGCAGCCAGUGCCGCCACUGUGACUAGUGCAUCAAAACCGACGUUUCCUGCAUACAGUUCCGCCACGAUUAGUGCUCCUCCAACAACCAACAGUGCUAUCUCGGCAGCAGCAAGUGGCAACAGCAACAACGGAUUGGGUGGUGGUGAUGCGACGAAAGGCGCAUCGUCGUCCAUCAUGCCUAAUUCGGGUACUGCAACCUCUAAGAUUGUGCACCCGCCAGAGGAUCUCAGCUUGGAAGAGCUUCGAGCGCGCAAGCCCCAGUAUCAAAAGCAAAUACAGCAAGCUACUCAGCAAAUGCUGCAGCAAAAACAGCAAGAAAAACAACAAGCACAGGUAGCUGCUGCGGUUGCGGCGGCCCAGCAACAACUGCAGGCACAAGCGCAGGCACAACUUAAGCAGCACCAUCAGCAGCAGCAGCAACAACAUCAGCAACAAUUGCAUCAACAGCAGCAGCACCAGCAACAGCAACAACAGCAGCAACAGCAACAGCAACAGCAGCAGCACCAACAACAGCAGCAGCAACAACAACAGCAACAACAGUUGCAACAAUUAUCGCCGUUUUCCUCUGCAGCUGGUACCGCUUCAAUCGUUUCCAACACACAAACAACCGCCGCUAUGAAAGAUAAUCGAAUGAUGUCGCCACAAGAGCAAGCCGCUGUGAUAGCACAUGCACAUGCCGCUGCAGCCAACCAUCACAAACAGAUCGAGGAAUUGAAUCGUGCUGCAAUGAUUCAUCGGUUUCAGGCAGCAAACGCAGCCGCAGCGAAUGCUGCAGCAGCAGCCGCCAGCAGACCAGGAAUGCCAAUCGGAAUGGUUCCUGUAUCUCUGGGAGGCCCCGUCCCACUUAUGUCUCCAAUGAUGCGUCAAGGACUAGCAAUUGGUCCACCGGGAGGAGGCAAUUUGGCGCUUUUAGGGGGAAACAUGCUUCGUCCUGGUCCCCCACAAAUGGGUCUUGGUCCAGGUGGUUUAAUUACGCAAAUUCCAACUGUACCAGGCAUGGGUGUAGUUUUUCCUGGAGCACCUAUGCUGCCGAUGAUGCCACCGCGAUUCCGGUGAUUGCCUCAGACAGCGCUGCUACCACACAAUCCAGUUGCACAACAUCGUUCACUAUUAGCGGCGGUCACGUCUGCUGCGUUACCACCGUUGAUGCAACAGCUUCCAUUAUCAACGAUCUAUCCAUAAAUACGAGAUGAAGAAGGAAGACGUGGCCAUGGCAUAUUAGGAGCAUACCUUAAGAUACCUUACCUUAAGAUUAAUGUGAGUUACGCAUCCUGUAACGGCCUGGAUGCUGGGUGGUAGUCGAAUUCAAACAUAAUGCAGCAACUUUCCGUUUAUUUUAUGCAAAUGACAAUGGGAUGUAAAAAGAAUAUUCAUUCAUCCAGUGUGCAGCACCAUUUGGUUGUGACAUUUAUCUGGUUUUCGCCAGCGUGUUAAUAGCAGCGGUAUGUGGUUUUAAAUAAUUUUCUACAGUUCUAUAAUCUUUAUAAAAAAGACGAAAAUGUUCCGUAGGUGAACAAAUUUUAAGGCAAUAAUUCUGUAAUAAUCCUAAAAUACCAAAACAUAAGGUAAGGAAGUUGGGUUUAGUAAAAUCUAUACGAUAACAAUGGUAAAAAGGAUACGGCCUGAGAUUAUGUUUAAUCAAUCUAAAAUGCUCAAUUGCGUGAUGUAAAAAAAUAUCCACAUCAAAGUAGAGCACAUAAAAAUCGCCGCCAAUUUAAGGUUAGGGCUGAGAAAAAUUGAGCUGUUCAACUAUUGCCACCAUGCAUAAUGGCAAAAAUGUUUGCGUUUCGCUUUGUUGAUGUAUGCACAAAAAUUACACACCCAUCAGCUAUACAAAUCUUAUAAUCUGUCAAGAUUUUUUAAUUACUUUCUUAAUCAGCAAUUAGAUAAAUGCCCAAUUCUCAAUGCGUUUGGACGUUAAACUUGUCUUGUAACAUAUUUAAUUGUGGUGUUUGCAUCGCACUAGUAAUCAUGUGCAUCGUAGACGAAGUGCAAUACCAUGGCAGCUGAUUAAGCAUAUGUAUUGGUAAAUAGCUCAUUGUAUUUGUUAUUGUUGCAGUAGAACUAUAUAUUGGUAUACAAAAUUGCUAUUAUAACGCGUUUUCGUACAAUAACGACAUGGUAAUAUUACCUAUUUUCGCUUCCUAAAAGAAAAAAAAACAAUAUAGUAACAGUCACUCAUUACCUUUAACUCCAUACUAGAAUGCUUUCAAAUCAUGAAUAUAUUUCUUACUAUACAUUUAGAAUUCACACUAGCAAUAAUGUUGCCUGUAGUGCCUGAUAAUAUUGUGAAACUAUUGUUGUCCAUUGUAACUACGAAAGUGAAUUAGUGAAAAGAUAUGCGUAAACUAUAUGCAGUGAUUGAAACACGUUUAUAAUUUGCCUUGUUUUCGAUAAUUUUAAUGCAUUUGAUUUAAAAAAUGGCCAUUAUCUGAAACUAGUUUGUGACACGGGAUGGAAAUGGAAUUAAUGUUUCUUUCGUUUUCCUUUAAUUUGGCUUUUUUGUGAUGUUUUAAAAUACAUACAUUAUUUGGAAUACACGUAGGUUUAACAUUGAAUAUGCGAUGUUUUUUAAAGGUUUCGCUCACAUUUUAGUUUAAUAUGUUAUUGAUGUUAUAAUUUUCUGUUUUAGCUUUUUUCUAAAUAUGCUCAAUAACAAUAACUAUAAAUGGUGUGGUAUACUUUAUGAUUUAUUAUGGUGGUGGACUAAAUUGUUAACAGUAAAAUUGAUUAGAUUUUUUUUUCUCGUGGAAUCAUAUUCAUGUAUGUCAGUAAAAUCCAUGAAAAUAAUGUUAGAAACGUAGCUCAUUGAUUUUUUCCCCCCAUUUCUCCCUGGUCUGACGCUGUUAUAGUGAACGCGUAUCUUCAAUAACAAAUAAUAAUAGUCAUCUUCCAUGGUAAAUUUGGCCGUGCUCCACCACAUCAUACGGUAAUAGUUAAGUACCCCAUCCAUGAAUAGUUAAGUACAACCAUGGUCAAAACAAGCAUUGCGUUCUAUUUAUGCAAUUUUCACUCGUACACUCCCAGGUUUACUUCCUUAUUUACAGUAAGCGUCCACAAGGUGCAGUACCAUCGUACCUCAGCUGGCAGCCAUAAGCCGGCAAUGAAUUUGUAGCGCAUUACUCGACGAUUUUAACCAUAAGCCGUACGUACCAGCUAAACAAAGAGGAAGAGAUAAAGGGAGAGUGAAAGAGGAGAUAGCGUAUAUUAGUAAAUAGUUAUAGUUUCAGUUGGUCGUGGAUCCCCUUUCGUUUGAAUCUUUUGUAAGCUUUACCUCUAACUUCAUCACUUGUACUCCUUUUAUAUGUUACUCUAAUCCUAUUGCCAAAAACUGCAGCCUAAUCGUGAUCGAACAGGUGAUUGUAUUGAGAAAGUCGUGCCGCCAGAACACUACUCUACUCUCAGCAAUCACAAAGUUGAUGUUGGACGGACAUCGUUCCGUUCCCACCCUUUGAGUGGUUAGAAGCGUCGCUUCAACCAGCUUCAUUAAGGGUCGGCGACAUUGGUCAGAGCUUGAUGCUGUUUUUAGCAAUUUGACCAUGUGUCAUAUCAGUUUUGUUGAGUGGAAAGUCCCUUGCCUGAGAGCGUCGAAGGCAGGCGAAAUUGUUAGCACAAUUUCACAGUUCCUCUAUUUCUUUUGUUUGAUUGUUUUUAGAUGUGGUAAUACGGGAAGAAGGUUUAAUGUGAUUUGUUACGGUGAAGAUGGUGUAUGGUGUGGUGUUGAAGUUGUUUUAUUCUUCUUUAAAUAAUGCUUUUAAUAAAUAGUUUCAAGCUUCAUAAAGCAUUUGCUUUGCCCUUGUAAUAAUGGAUCAUGAAUGGAUAAGUUAUUCAACAGUGAAAGUGUCGGAAAUCUUUUUAUAUUUAUUACAUGUUACACGUAUGUUUUGUUGGAUAUGGUCUUACGUUUUGGGUUCUUCGCUUUUCACAAACCGUUCUUCAUUGCUACUUAUACAACUUAUAUCGUAUUUGGUAACUACUUUUAAAAUCAAACUAUUUUAAGUUAGCCCUGUUUGCCGUUAUUGUGAUGAUUCUUUUUUAUUCUCACCACCUACGUAUUGGAACUGUUGGACUUUCCAUCCCCUGUUCGUGAUCGACAAUUGGGUAUUUAAAUUUGAGUACAAACAUCACGCUAUAGUAUUAGGGGUUUUAAAGUAUAGUCCAUGCCUAACUCUUUCUUUCCUUCACUUUCUCUCUCCCCCUCUCCUUCUCUCUCUCUCUCUCUCUCUCUCGCUCUCUGUCUCUCUAUUUCUUUCUCUUUGCCGCUCCAUGUCCAUGCCUCAUGUGUGUUUCCCUGUAUUUUGUUUCCUUUUUUAUUUCUAUUUCCAUUCUCAGUGAGUAAUGAAAAUAUGCGAUUUAACAUGAGCUGUUUAAAAUUACAAUAGGAUUUACUAAAAGGUUGUAUUGCAAGCAUAUCUUAAUUUUUUUAGUUUCUUCGCAUAUAUUCCUUGAUAAAUGUUAGCUGUUGCUAAUUUCAUUGUCCUCUUUUGUUUCGGUAUUUGUCUUUGUGGUCGUCUGGUAUCGGUUUUGUUUGAAUGUGCGGCUUUAAUACGCUUCAUACGAGGGUCUCUAAUUGUGGCGGCGUGUAGAGGAUUCUACAACAGGGAAGUAGAACCAUUUUGAGUUAGUUUGGCUAUAACUGUAUGACGCAAGUAUGAGUUUGCUAUAAAAACUGUAUAUUCAUGUAUGCCUCACAAUAGGAAUCAAGAGAAGAAUGAAACUGUCCCAUGCUUGAUUAUUGUUGCAUUGUUUAGUUUUACCCUUAAACUAAAGUACUUUUAUCACUUGUUCCGCGAGUGGAAUAGUUUUUACAAAUAAGCAUUGAUUGAUACAUUGAUUUCAUCUCACCUUCACCUUCUCAUCCAACGUAAAACUAUACUUUCGGUUUGAUUAAACAUGCUUCAUCUGUAAAAAGCAACAAAUGGUGUAUCAUAAAUGAGAUAACUACCCAAGAAAUCGCCAGUUGAAUGAUACUGUUUAUCAAUCCGCCGCACUGUAUGAGCUAUAGAUUUGGAAAUAUAUUUGUGAAGUAUAUUGUGUGUAGCUUAAACCACAUCUAACUAUACAGCACUCACCUGAAUUGGUGCCAGUUCCGAAGCACGCACUUAACAGCAGACGUUUUGUUUUAAAUUACAACGUUUUCAAGGGAUGGCCAAAAAAUCCGUCGUGACAGUGGUUCUCGGAGAGCAUAAACACGAGUGUUGUAACAUAUUCGCUGAUAGAACUAUUGAACGAUAAGCAACCUAGUGCAAGAAGCAAUUGUUGACGUAAGUUUUUAGUGUGCAUAUUUCUAGUUUCCGAUAGCAAUCAAUGUUUGUAUGGGUUGUAUGUACAUAGCAGUUAUGUAUAGUACAUAUACAUAAGGGCUUUUAUGCAUAUACAUAUAUACACAGCUACGUGAGAUUGUGCCACGCUAGGCAAAACGAAACAUGUUAAUAGUGUUUUUCAUUUGUUAAGUGUAUUCAUUAGGCGAUAAACUCAACCUAUUCUUUCGAUUAUAUCUAUAUGCGUAGCGUGUCACCUGAGGUAUAGCACAUGAAUGGAAACAUAAUAAAAUAAAUGUAUAAAUUAAAAACUCA